CAGCCGCCACGGGAAUACAGAGGGUGCGAGCGUUAAUCGGAUUUACUGGGCGUAAAGCGUGCGUAGGCGGCUUUUUAAGUCGGAUGUGAAAUCCCUGAGCUUAACUUAGGAAUUGCAUUCGAUACUGGGAAGCUAGAGUAUGGGAGAGGAUGGUAGAAUUCCAGGUGUAGCGGUGAAAUGCGUAGAGAUCUGGAGGAAUACCAAUGGCGAAGGCAGCCAUCUGGCCUAAUACUGACGCUGAGGUACGAAAGCAUGGGGAGCAAACAGGAUUAGAUACCCCGGUAGUCCCUGUCUCUUAUAC
This 301-nucleotide ribosomal RNA is filed under the name uncultured bacterium. RNAcentral's name for it is "partial 16S ribosomal RNA". It matches the Rfam family "Bacterial small subunit ribosomal RNA", at positions 509 to 807 of the family's 1533-position model. The record is from RNAcentral.